GAUGAACGCUGGCGGCGUGCCUAACACAUGCAAGUCGAGCGAAGCGAUUUAGCGGAAGUUUUCGGAUGGAAGUUAAAUUGACUGAGCGGCGGACGGGUGAGUAACGCGUGGGUAACCUGCCUCAUACAGGGGGAUAACAGUUAGAAAUGACUGCUAAUACCGCAUAAGCGCACAGCAUCGCAUGAUGCAGUGGUAAAAACUCCGGUGGUAUGAGAUGGAUCCGCGUCUGAUUAGCUAGUUGGUAAGGUAAUGGCUUACCAAGGCAACGAUCAGUAGCCGACCUGAGAGGGUGACCGGCCACAUCGGGACUGAGACACGGCCCAA
This 324-nucleotide ribosomal RNA is filed under the name uncultured bacterium. RNAcentral's name for it is "bacterial SSU rRNA". It matches the Rfam family "Bacterial small subunit ribosomal RNA", at positions 28 to 334 of the family's 1533-position model. The record is from RNAcentral.